UGUAGUUCAAAGCCCUUUUUCUAUUGUACUACUGUGAAAUCACAUGAGCAGUGCAAUAUUAAAAGGGCAUUGGCCGACA
Molecule: microRNA precursor, 79 nt
Organism: Poecilia formosa (Amazon molly)
Lineage: Eukaryota; Metazoa; Chordata; Actinopteri; Cyprinodontiformes; Poeciliidae
Source: Ensembl